UACGUAGGGUGCAGGCGUUAAUCGGAAUUACUGGGCGUAAAGCGUGCGCAGGCGGUUUCUUAAGUCAGAUGUGAAAGCCCCGGGCUUAACCUGGGAACUGCGUUUGAAACUGGGAGACUAGAGUGUGGCAGAGGGGGGGUGGAAUUCCACGUGUAGCAGUGAAAUGCGUAGAGAUGUGGAGGAACACCGAUGGCGAAGGCAGCCCCCUGGGUCAAGAUUGACGCUCAUGCACGAAAGCGUGGGGAGCAAACAGG
Molecule: ribosomal RNA, 254 nt
Filed under: uncultured bacterium
Lineage: Bacteria
Description: partial 16S ribosomal RNA
Rfam family: Bacterial small subunit ribosomal RNA
Source: RNAcentral